UGGAGGAAAGUAGGGGAUCGAAAGACCUUAUGCUUUAGGAGCGGCCGAUGUCUGAUUAGCUAGUUGGUAAGGUAAUGGCUUACCAAGGCAACGAUCAGUAGUUGGUCUGAGAGGACGACCAGCCACACUGGGACUGAGACACGGCCCAGACUCCUACGGGAGGCAGCAGUGGGGAAUUUUGGACAAUGGGCGCAAGCCUGAUCCAGCAAUGCCGCGUGAGUGAAGAAGGCCUUCGGGUUGUAAAGCUCUUUCAGUUGAGAAGAAAAGAUUGUGACUAAUAAUUGCAAUUCAUGACGGUAUCAACAGAAGAAGCACCGGCUAACUACGUGCCAGCAGCCGCGGUAAUACGUAGGGUGCGAGCGUUAAUCGGAAUUACUGGGCGUAAAGGGUGCGCAGGCGGUUCUGUAAGUCAGAUGUGAAAUCCCCGGGCUUAACCUGGGAACUGCGUUUGAAACUACAAAGCUAG
Molecule: ribosomal RNA, 466 nt
Filed under: uncultured bacterium
Lineage: Bacteria
Description: bacterial SSU rRNA
Rfam family: Bacterial small subunit ribosomal RNA
Source: RNAcentral